RNAcentral lists this ribosomal RNA (1266 nucleotides) under Triticum aestivum (bread wheat). RNAcentral describes it as "partial small subunit ribosomal RNA". The record is from RNAcentral. Lineage: Eukaryota; Viridiplantae; Streptophyta; Magnoliopsida; Poales; Poaceae.
AUGAUAUCAAACCCUAGUUAUUUUGGUGAAGGAAAAUGGAAGCUCACCAAAGGCUCUUUGAUUGUGGCUCGAGGAAGUAAGCAAGGUAAUCUCUAUGUGACUAAAACCAAGUUGUGCAAUAAGGUGUUGAACAUUGUUGAAAAAGACACUUCGGUUGAGUUGUGGCACAAGAGGCUUGGGCAUAUGAGUGAGAAGGGCAUGCACGCUCUUGCUCGCAUGGAGUACCUUCCUGAGUUGAAAGGUAUAUCCUUGACACUUUGUGCACAUUGUUUUGCUGGCAAACAACAUAGGGCUGCAUUCCGUACACUCCCUUCACAUCGUGUAGAAAAUGUUCUUGAUAUUGUGCACACUGAUGUUUGCUCCAUGACUAAAAAAUCUCAUGGUGGAGCAUUAUACUUUGUGACUUUUAUUGAUGACCAUUCUAGAAAGGUUUUUGUGUAUGUGCUGAAACACAAAUACCAGACGCUUGAAGCCUUCAAGGAGUUCCAUGCCAAGGUUGAAAGAGAAACUGGCAGGAAAUUGAAGUGCGUGAGAUCGUACAAUGGUGGUGAAUACCGAGGUCCGUUUGAAAGGUAUUGCAGAAAUUUUGGCAUCGGGCUUGAGAAGAGUCCACCAAAGACACCUCAGCUCAAUGGUCUUGCAGAGAGAAUGAACAGGACACUCACAGAGAGGGUCAUAGCUAUGCUCUCUCAUGCUCAUUUACCUAAUUCAUUUUGGGCUGAAGCAUUGAUGAAUGCUAUGUAUGUGGUUAACCUAUCUCCCUCAGUUCCUCUUGCAGGUGAUAUUCCUCAGAGAGUUUGGUCAGGGAAGGAGGUAUCAUACAAGCACUUGAAGGUCUUUGGUUGCAGGGCAUUUGUACAUGUUCCAAGGGACGAGAGAUCCAAGCUUGAUAGCAAGACAAAGCAGUGCAUCUACCUCAGCCAACCAAGUGAAGAGUUUGGCUACAGGUUGUGGGAUCCAGCCAAUAGAAAGAUUGUGAGAAGCCGAGAUGUGGUGUUCAUUGAAGAUGAAACAAUAAAAGAUAUUGGGAAACCAGAGAAGCCAAUGACCAGCACACCUCAGGUUGAUAUGGAUCCAAUCCGUCCUCCUCUCGUGCAUGACAAUCAUGGGGGAGAUGAUGACACUGAAGACAGUGGAGAUGCAACUGAUCAAGGCAGUACAAGUCAAAGUGACGAGCAGCCAUCAAGUGAUGAUAAUGAUGAAGUUGGUAAUGAUGAUGCCAACGAAAAUCCACCUGAUUCACCACCAGUGCAGCAGCAAAGAUGA